Molecule: ribosomal RNA, 285 nt
Filed under: uncultured bacterium
Lineage: Bacteria
Description: partial 16S ribosomal RNA
Rfam family: Bacterial small subunit ribosomal RNA
Source: RNAcentral
AACAACCUACGGGAGGCAGCAGUGAGGAAUAUUGGUCAAUGGGCGAGAGCCUGAACCAGCCAAGUCGCGUGAGGGAGUACUGCCCUAUGGGUUGUAAACCUCUUUUGUCGGGGAGCAAAAGCCGGACGUGUCCGGCUGUGAGAGUACCCGAAGAAGAAGCAUCGGCUAACUCCGUGCCAGCAGCCGCGGUAAUACGGAGGAUGCGAGCGUUCUCCGGAUUUAUUGGGUUUAAAGGGUGCGCAGGCGGAUUUUUAAGUCAGCUGUCAAAUCGUGGGGCUCAACCCC